GACGAACGCUGGCGGCGUGCUUAACACAUGCAAGUCGAACGGAAAGGCCCUGCUUUUGUGGGGUGCUCGAGUGGCGAACGGGUGAGUAACACGUGAGUAACCUGCCCUUGACUUUGGGAUAACUUCAGGAAACUGGGGCUAAUACCGGAUAGGAGCUCCUGCUGCAUGUUGUGGGUUGGAAAGUUUCGGCGGUUGGGGAUGGACUCGCGGCUUAUCAGCUUGUUGGUGGGGUAGUGGCUUACCAAGGCUUUGACGGGUAGCCGGCCUGAGAGGGUGACCGGCCACAUUGGGACUGAGAUACGGCCCAGACUCCUACGGGAGGCAGCAGGGGGGAAUAUUGCACAAUGGGCGGAAGCCUGAUGCAGCAACGCCGCGUGCGGGAUGACGGCCUUCGGGUUGUAAACCGCUUUCGACUGUGACGAAGCGUGAGUGACGGUAAUGGGUAAAGAAGCACCGGCUAACUACGUG
This 468-nucleotide ribosomal RNA is filed under the name uncultured bacterium. RNAcentral describes it as "partial 16S ribosomal RNA". It matches the Rfam family "Bacterial small subunit ribosomal RNA", at positions 28 to 507 of the family's 1533-position model. The record is from RNAcentral.